RNAcentral lists this ribosomal RNA (440 nucleotides) under uncultured bacterium. RNAcentral describes it as "partial 16S ribosomal RNA". It matches the Rfam family "Bacterial small subunit ribosomal RNA", at positions 338 to 795 of the family's 1533-position model. The record is from RNAcentral.
CCUACGGGUGGCUGCAGUGGGGGAUAUUGCACAAUGGGGGAAACCCUGAUGCAGCGACGCCGCGUGAGUGCAGCAGUAUUUCGGUAUGUAAAGCUCUAUCAGCAGGGAAGAAAAUGACAGUACCUGACCAAGCAGCCCCGGCUAACUACGUGCCAGCAGCCGCGGUAAUACGUCGGGGGCAAGCGUUAUCCGGAUUUACUGGGUGGAAAGGGUGCGUAGACGGGUAGGUAAGUCUGGAGUGAAAGGCCGGGGCCCAACCCCGGGACUGCGUUUGAUACUGUGUAACUGGAGUACAGGAGGGGCAAGCGGAAUUCCUGGUGUAGCGGUGAAAUGCGUAGAUAUCAGGAGGAACACCGGCGGCGAAGGCGGCCUGCUGGACUGAAACUGACGUUGAGGCUCGAAAGCGUGGGGAGCAAACAGGAUUAGAUACCCCAGUAGUC